ACGGGAGGCAGCAGUGGGGAAUAUUGGACAAUGGGGAAACCCUGAUCCAGCGACGCCGCGUGAGUGAAGAAGUAUUUCGGUAUGUAAAGUUCUAUCAGCAGGGAAGAUAAUGACGGUACCUGACUAAGAAGCCCCGGCUAACUACGUGCCAGCAGCCGCGGUAAUACGUAGGGGGCAAGCGUUAUCCGGAUUUACUGGGUGUAAAGGGAGCGUAGACGGUAUGGCAAGUCUGAUGUGAAAACCCAAGGCUCAACCAUGGGACUGCAUUGGAAACUGUCAAACUAGAGUGCAGGAGGGGUAAGCGGAAUUCCUAGUGUAGCGGUGAAAUGCGUAGAUAUUAGGAGGAACACCGGUGGCGAAGGCGGCUUACCGGACUGUAACUGACGUUGAGGCUCGAAAGCGUGGGGAGCAAACAGGAUUAGAUACCCUGGUA
This 433-nucleotide ribosomal RNA is filed under the name uncultured Lachnospiraceae bacterium. RNAcentral's name for it is "partial 16S ribosomal RNA". It matches the Rfam family "Bacterial small subunit ribosomal RNA", at positions 341 to 792 of the family's 1533-position model. Lineage: Bacteria; Bacillati; Bacillota; Clostridia; Lachnospirales; Lachnospiraceae. The record is from RNAcentral.